CGGGACCCGCACAAGCAGCGGAGCGUGUGGUUUAAUUCGAGGCUACACGAAGAACCUUACCAGGGUUUUGACAUGCAAGUGGUAGGAAUCCGAAAGGUGACCGACCCUUCGGGGAGCUUGCACAGGUGCUGCAUGGCUGUCGUCAGCUCGUGUCGUGAGAUGUUCGGUUAAGUCCGCUAACGAGCGCAACCCUCGUCGUGUGUUAUACGUGUCACACGAUACUGCCGGUAUCAAGCCGGAGGAAGGUGGGGAUGAUGUCAAGUCAGCAUGGCCUUUAUAUCCUGGGCUACACACACGCUACAAUGGCAGAUACAAUAGGUUGCGAAACCGCGAGGUGGAGCCAAUCCUCAAAGUCUGUCUCAGUUCAGAUUGUAGGCUGCAACUCGCCUGCAUGAAGCUGGAAUCUGUAGUAAUCGUGUCUCAAAAUGGCACGGUGAAUAUGUCCCUGCUCCUU
This 454-nucleotide ribosomal RNA is filed under the name uncultured Leptolinea sp. RNAcentral describes it as "bacterial SSU rRNA". It matches the Rfam family "Bacterial small subunit ribosomal RNA", at positions 922 to 1376 of the family's 1533-position model. Lineage: Bacteria; Bacillati; Chloroflexota; Anaerolineae; Anaerolineales; Anaerolineaceae. The record is from RNAcentral.